RNAcentral lists this ribosomal RNA (439 nucleotides) under uncultured bacterium. Its description in RNAcentral is "partial 16S ribosomal RNA". It matches the Rfam family "Bacterial small subunit ribosomal RNA", at positions 338 to 795 of the family's 1533-position model. The record is from RNAcentral.
CCUACGGGAGGCAGCAGUGGGGAAUAUUGCACAAUGGGCGAAAGCCUGAUGCAGCAACGCCGCGUGAGCGAAGAAGGACUUCGGGUCGUAAAGCUCUGUCAUCAGGGAAGAUAAUGACGGUACUUGAGGAAGAAGCCCCGGCUAACUACGUGCCAGCAGCCGCGGUAAUACGUAGGGGGCUAGCGUUAUCCGGAUUUACUGGGCGUAAAGGGAUCGUAGGUGGUUUAGUAAGUCAGAGGUGAAAGGCGACGGCUCAACCGUAGUAAGCCUUUGAAACUGGGGAACUUGAGUGCAGGAGAGGAGAGUGGAAUUCCUAGUGUAGCGGUGAAAUGCGUAGAUAUUAGGAGGAACACCAGUUGCGAAGGCGGCUCUCUGGACUGUAACUGACAUUGAGGCACGAAAGCGUGGGGAGCAAACAGGAUUAGAUACCCGAGUAGUC